UAGGGAAUUUUCCACAAUGGACGAAAGUCUGAUGGAGCAACGCCGCGUGCAGGAUGAAGGGUUUCGGCUCGUAAACUGCUUUUAUCUGUGAAGAUUAUGACGGUAGCAGAUGAAUAAGGAUCGGCUAACUCCGUGCCAGCAGCCGCGGUCAUACGGAGGAUCCAAGCGUUAUCCGGAAUUACUGGGCGUAAAGAGUUGCGUAGGUGGCACUGUAAGUUGGUAGUGAAAGCGUUCGGCUCAACCGAAUAAA
Molecule: ribosomal RNA, 250 nt
Filed under: uncultured bacterium
Lineage: Bacteria
Description: partial 16S ribosomal RNA
Rfam family: Bacterial small subunit ribosomal RNA
Source: RNAcentral